UACGUAGGUGGCAAGCGUUGUCCGGAUUUACUGGGUGUAAAGGGCGUGUAGGCGGGAUGGAAAGUCAGAUGUGAAAUACCGAGGCUCAACCUCGGGGCUGCAUUUGAAACUUCCAUUCUUGAGUGCAGGAGAGGAAAGCGGAAUUCCUAGUGUAGCGGUGAAAUGCGUAGAUAUUAGGAGGAACACCAGUGGCGAAGGCGGCUUUCUGGACUGUAACUGACGCUGAGGCGCGAAAGCAUGGGGAGCGAACAGG
RNAcentral lists this ribosomal RNA (253 nucleotides) under uncultured bacterium. RNAcentral describes it as "partial 16S ribosomal RNA". It matches the Rfam family "Bacterial small subunit ribosomal RNA", at positions 524 to 776 of the family's 1533-position model. The record is from RNAcentral.